RNAcentral lists this long non-coding RNA (570 nucleotides) under Fragaria vesca (wild strawberry). RNAcentral describes it as "long non-coding RNA (FVES_LNC002653)". Lineage: Eukaryota; Viridiplantae; Streptophyta; Magnoliopsida; Rosales; Rosaceae. The record is from RNAcentral.
UAGUUUCUCAGGUAUAUUCUUGAUGUUGUUAUGCUUGACUUUAUUGGCUUUUGCGUUUGCAUUUGAAUUUUUAUUGUGUUUUCAUUUGAAUUUUUUUUGGAGGCAUGAAAUUUGGUGUUUGAAUGCAAAGAGUGCAAUAUAAAUUUUCCCCAAGAUGGAUUCGUGGGACUAUAGAUUUGGGAAGUUCCCAAUCCUCUGCUCAGAUCGAAUAGAUAAGUUGAGUGCUUUUGAAUUUUCAAUUUUUUUCAUUCCGUUUUUGUGUGGUUUUUAUACUGUUUGAGAUUGAGCUUGUCAUUUCAGGAAGGAUAGCCGUUCCCAUUACCUGAUUUGCAGUCUAGGACCUCAAUGAUCGAUUGCACCGACUUACAGUAUAUAGCUUGCUGAUUUGAUUUUCAUUUUUUAGCAGUUUAUCAGGUAAAGUUACAGUUUACAUGCAACAUACUCAAAUAAAGAAAACUGCAUUUCUUUCUUUCUGAGUUUCAAUCUGAUUUUUGUUUCUUUCUUUCUUUCUUCUUUUUGCUAUUGAAUGCCACCCGAAUACUAAAUUGGAGAGAUAACUGGACCUGGCUA